ACAGGCGCCAGGCGCUCCGGCCGCAAGGGAGCAGGGAGCCCUGCCAGCUGGGCCACCCGAGGGGCGUUGCGGGGCUCCGGGCGGGGUCGACCCGGGGGGCUCCGUCGGGCCCCACCAGCCUUGCGCCUUUUUCGCUCGGUCUCCUUGGCCUCCCGCUCCUGCGACGCCGCUUUCCUUUUCUCUUGCUCCCGAGCUCGGACCUCGGCCAGGGGCCCCGCCCGCCAGUUGGUCGCCUCCUGCAGCACCCUGGAGGCCCAGGGCCGGCGGGGCGGCGGCUGUGGGGAUCCCGGGCGCGGCCCACACCUGGGACAAUGAGCAGGAACCCAGGGUCUUGCUGUGUUGCUGAGCUGGUCUUGAACUCCUGGCCUCCCGCCUCAGUCUCCCAAAGUGCUGGGAUUACAGGGAAUGUGACUUCACUGGACGCAGUAUAAAGAUCUUCAGAUGUCCUCCUGCCGGGGAUUGCAGGGAUCACAGAAAGACCAUCGAGGUCCAGGAGCUACCUGCAAGCGGAGAUCCCUCUGGACGCCCCGUGCCUCACCCAGCAAAGCCGGCUCACAACCCUGCGCUCUCAAACCUCUAAAAGGGCUUGAGGUGCCAAUAGGAAAGGAGGCCCGAGAUUGCCACGGCAUACGUGGGCCCCAAGGAGGGAGCCAGGAGUCACUGCCUGCUUGGGCUAAGGGUACCGCGUACGGAAAGGCGGCGGGGACGCGGCCCAGUUCCAGGAGAUGCGCCCAACGAAGAAGCGGAGGAACAGGGUCACGGGAUAGGGCAGACACCCGGCUGCUUUUUGUUUGCUAGACACCAGCGCCAGCCCCUGCCCGGCCCUCCCGGUCUCCUAAGGGUUGGGGGGGUGUCUUAGGCUCCACAGCGCCCCCGACCGCCCUCCUGCACUCCUCACCGUCUCCAUUGCAAGAGGCGCCCGGCUUGGUUUCCUCGCUUUAGGAAAC
This 947-nucleotide long non-coding RNA is filed under the name Homo sapiens (human). Its description in RNAcentral is "HSALNT0368009". Lineage: Eukaryota; Metazoa; Chordata; Mammalia; Primates; Hominidae. The record is from RNAcentral.